GACGAACGCUGGCGGCGUGCUUAACACAUGCAAGUCGAACGAUGAAGAAGAGAAACGCGAACUUCGGUUCAAAUUUCACUUCGGAUUAGUGGCAGACGGGUGAGUAACGCGUGAGCAACCUACCUCUUACAAAGGGAUAGCCUCGGGAAACCGUGAUUAAUACCAUAUGACACAUUCAUAAGGCAUCUUAAGAAUGUUAAAGCUACGGCGCUAAGAGAUGGGCUCGCGUCCCAUUAGCUAGUUGGUGAGGUAACGGCCCACCAAGGCGACGAUGGGUAACCGGCCUGAGAGGGUGAACGGUCACAUUGGAACUGAGACACGGUCCAAACUCCUACGGGAAGCAGCAGUGGGGAAUAUUGCACAAUGGAGGGAACUCUGAUGCAGCGACGCCGCGUGAGCGAUGAAGGAAUUCGUUUCGUAAAGCUCUGUUCUAUGGGAAGAAAAGGACUGUACCAUAGGAGAAAGCCCCGGCUAAAUACGUG
Molecule: ribosomal RNA, 482 nt
Filed under: uncultured bacterium
Lineage: Bacteria
Description: partial 16S ribosomal RNA
Rfam family: Bacterial small subunit ribosomal RNA
Source: RNAcentral